Molecule: long non-coding RNA, 4281 nt
Organism: Corvus hawaiiensis (hawaiian crow)
Lineage: Eukaryota; Metazoa; Chordata; Aves; Passeriformes; Corvidae
Exons: 4
Source: RefSeq, a predicted model, not a curated record
CACAAGUUCAGAGCUCCACUUCUCCCCUAUUUAAUUAGGCUGGGGAGAGCCGCGGAGGCGCCUGGUUGAGGUGCAAGCGAGGCGGCCGGGCCGAGCGAAGAGCAACCCUGACCUGGUGAAAAUUAGAAAUACUGCAAUGCAAAGCAUACUGCAGCACCUUUUGAAAGGGAAUUGCCAGAAUUUAAUUGCAUCCUCCUCUUCUUAAACAAGUUUGAAAUAGGCUUUCAUACCUAGAGGCGAUUUUUUGGUUACUGAAAUGUCAGUGUGCAAGAUGGAAACUCAAGCCCACUGGGACAGUAAAUAUUUUGGAUCUGUGUUUUUUGCAAGAUGGAAGAAAACAAAGCAGCUGCCAACAAGGUUUCAUCCUGCUCUGAGUCCCAUGGCAACACCACCAGCGAAGAGGGAAGAUGAGUUCGGCCCAUUGCUUGGCAGUACCUUGCAAAGUAUACAUGGAGAAUACCUGAACUGACUGAAUUCCUCUCAAGACCACACCAAGAAGUAGCAGAGUGCUGUCAAUCACCAGUGUCGCGUCUCAACUGGUGCCUCCAACCAUACAUCAGGAUUUGGUCAUGGCACUGAAUGCACUGGGGUUGUGAAGGCAGCAGCCAUGCAGAGGCAACCAGGGGGAGCUCAGGACAUAGCCAUGCACAUGUCACGUGGAUACUUCAGGGCACUGGAGCAGUAGGCAGUCAAGGGAAAGCUUUGAGCUAAACCUAUGACAUGGUCAAGGGCAAUGAGAGAAAUUCAAGGUCAGCCAUACAAGAAACUUGCCUGUAUCCAAAGAAGGACACAGACAACUAUAAAUGCAACAGGAGGUUCCCUGGAGAAGCCAUCAGCCUUUGACUAAGGACAGCUCAGUUCCAUCCGUAAGAGGUUAAUGACCACACCAUAGAUGGAGAAGAGAUGACUAGAGGGAACCUCUUUGAAGAUUUGUUUUCCAAAGAUAGCCAGAAGUUGGCUUCACUUCUAUGUCCCUUGGAGUGAAAGCAAUGUUUGGAGGGUCUUUGUUUCAUGUUUUUUUUCUGAGCAUGCUGCCAAGCACUGGGCAAAAGGCUAACUUUUUGCAACUCCACUCUCUCUCACACACAUAUACAUACCUAUAUAGCUGCCUCAGUCUUGCAUGUCCCAAACAGUCCUGGCCCCGACAUAGGGCCUAAACUUUCCAUGGCCUAAGGACUUUCCCUUUAUGGGCUUGCUCUCACUACGAUUAAGGGCUAUGAAUGACAUGAUAUUGAUUUUGUGAGAGCCAAGGAUUUUACACAGCAAAGCCUAUACAUAAUUACAGAUCUUCCUCUGAACUUCAUCUAAUGCAUCAGGAUUUAUAACAAUCAAACGUGAAUUUGAGAUAAUGAAAGAGAUUCCCAGCACAGCAAGCUUUUCCAGACAAACCUGCCCAGAACUCUUCUCUCAUGGUUUAAUGUACUGCAGGCACAGUAUGCAAUCAUGAAAUAAGGAUAUGCUUGGCAUGAGCCAAGAUGCUCAUUCGUCAGCCUAGAAUAGCAUGGACCCAGGUCACAUCCUCCGGUCUGUGUGACACCUUCAAAUGGUCAGAGUCAUCACCAAAAAGUCAAUCUAAGCCCUUUCUCCUCACUUUCUUGUAUCUUGGAAGCCGGUCUUGAUGCAUUCAUCUUUCACAGAGGCUGUCAAAAAUUCUCUGUUCCCAGGAGUAACAAGAAAAAACUUUCUCCUUCUACCUACACUGGAUCAGGGAUCCUUGGAGCGGCAGGCCCUUUGUAAUUAACAGUCCUUGACUGGAUUACUUCAUGAAUAUACUCUGCUGCUUUUUGACUGAUGUUCAUUUCCACACUAUCAAAAGGAAAACGAGUCUAACUAGUCAUUGUGUGAAACAGAGCUGCUUUUCGAUUUGCUUGGAACAUACCACUUGAUAAUUUUUCCUGUUUGAAGCAUCUUGGCAUCCGCAGACAAAGGCAGACAACUCAAGGACACAGCUGGUCCUACAGGCUCUAGAGAAACCCUGGGAACAAAACCAGGGCUGCAGAGUUGAGAGAAGACUCCACAGAGUGAACGUGCAAAAUCAGACUUGGCAGAGAAAGCCACCAUAAGCAUGGAGCACAGCCAGGCUUCAGUGAGUGCCUCAGUGGAAAAUGUAAGGAUCUUUGUCCAGAACAUAACUAGCAGAGGUCAGCUAAUGAAUAAUACAGUAACAACACUUUCUCUUCCUCUAAAUCCCAUGUCCAGCCUUUAGAUCCCAUCUCUUGAUGCAGCUGGAAAACCAAUGCAAGCGAAGAAUACUUUGACAACUCAUGUGUCUAUCACCUAUGGCAAGAGAGGGCCAACAGCUCUGCUGGCUUUCACUUCGCAGCCCCAAAUGUUUGGUAGUGAAGCAGAGAAGGCUAUGCAAUCACCAGCUUCCAGGUGGCCAUGGCAGUGGUUUUGUUCCCUCUGCAAGGGAGUUCUUAAGCUGUGAAUGUGGUUCUUCUCAUCCUACAGCACUUGCAUUGCUGCUAAGUCCUCACUGCUGCUGUUGGACCCCCUGCCUCUCCCCUUCCUGCAGGACAGACACUGGAGUGCUCUGUAAUUCCAGAUCCUCCUGCAGUCUGGCUCUCCCAGUGCAGGGUCUAGAUGGCACAGGAGAUGGUACUCAUGGCUGGAGACUCCACACACAGCUCUGAUCCCCUUUAUAGGGUCUUUGUUGUCUCCCAGCACAUGCUCCUGUAUUGUGCAAACUGCUGAAAAUCAAACAGCAUCCCGGAAAUGGCAGUUUCUGUGGUAGAUUAUCUGAUGUGGUGGCCAGUGACCCACACUGCAGGGGGUGGGACAGCCAAAUGCAACGGGGCAGGGGAUGCUGUGCACCAGACCUAUAUCCAACACUGGCAAAAACCUGUCCCAUGUGCCCUGCCCUGCCCUGCUCAGUGGAGGUACCUGAUCUGGGGCUGCAUCAGACUCAGCAGUGCAUCAGAUCAUGCAGCACCAGCCUGGGACUUACUGGUUUGGGAAGGAGCAGACUACCAGAGUGGUGAGACUUGACACGUGGCUUGCAAAUGGAAAGGAACUAAACCUCUGUUAUCUGCUUCUACUUGAUUCACUGCAAAUUCCUUUCUGAGGAAGUUAAAAAAAAAAAAGUCUUCUUCUAGACUUAAGAUCUGGGUUUGGAGCUCAUUAAAUACUUCAGUCCUUAUAAGGACUUAAAGUCUAAACAAAACCAAAAGCUCUGGAGAAAUUAGUAUUCUAUGUCUGCACACCCACCUUGGGAUCCCAUUUUUUUAUAUACCCAAAUAUUAGGUGAAAUCACAAUUUGUGGCUCUUCUUCUACCUUCACUCAGCCACUUGCUACUGCAUACCUUGGUUCAAAUUCAAGUAUCUGUCCUGAAAACAGGAUCCACAAUUUCUAAAACCCAGGCAAGUCAAAGCACUGUAAGGAUUUACUGCUCAUGUUAAAUUACCAGAUGCACUAACGUCUUAAGAAGGGAGCAAGGCCAGCCAAAAUUACAUAGGUUGAAGGAGCUAAGUAAUCCAUCCCAACUGAGCAGACCUAGAAGGAACUGCUGUCAACCAUACAUGUAAGAGAAAACACUUGUUGUAAAACGCACCCUGAACACAGUUGUAAACAGAAUUAACAUGAAAAUGUGGAUGUUUGGAUGAACGAAUUAAAAGCAACAGCAAUUUUGAUUGGUUCAUAAAAUAUGCAGUUAAUUUUUUUCUGCAGAUAAAUCAAACACACCACUUGUAAAGGAUAACCCAAUUCACCCUGUAUGCUUUAGGUCUGAUAUAUUUAGCAAAAGCCAAAUUUAAGAGAUUUAAAUGAACCUUUGCACAAGUGUCGGAGAAGAACCCAGCCCCCUUGACUCCAGACCAUGCAGGGGCUAAUACUGUCCUCUGUCUGGCACCAGACUCCCGCUCUUCCCACCAAAAUAACAUUUUCUUACUAAUGUCUCUUUCUCCGAAAGGUGUAAAUGGGCCCUUGUUUGACCUCAUCACAGAUUCAGCUAUAUUCUUUUAUCUCCAGUAAUCUGGAGAUUUUUUUUCCCUGCAGAUAGUUUCUGUGUUCCACUCACUGCUAUUUGCUAGAGAAAGACUCUUGGGCUUUUUGCCCUUUGUAUUUCCUCUCUUCUUUCAUGUGGAGAAGACUGCCAACGUGGGAUUUGCAAACUGCUGCCAAUAUGGGAUUUGUGCUGCUGCGGCUGCCAAUCUUUAAUUUAGCAUAUGUAUAAAGCUAAUUUUUGGACACGACGCUAGUGCUUGGCAUCUCUGCAGGAGUCAGCCAGGUUGUAAUGUUUGUAUUGUACUGCACUAUAAAAAACAAUAAAAAGAAAAUAUAAA